RNAcentral lists this ribosomal RNA (253 nucleotides) under uncultured bacterium. RNAcentral's name for it is "partial 16S ribosomal RNA". It matches the Rfam family "Bacterial small subunit ribosomal RNA", at positions 524 to 776 of the family's 1533-position model. The record is from RNAcentral.
UACGUAGGGGGCGAGCGUUGUCCGGAUUUAUUGGGCGUAAAGAGCGUGUAGGCGGCCAGGUAGGUCUGCUGUGAAAACUCGAGGCUCAACCUCGAGACGUCGGCGGAAACCAUCUGGCUAGAGUCCGGAAGAGGAGAGUGGAAUUCCUGGUGUAGCGGUGAAAUGCGCAGAUAUCGGGAAGAACACCCGUGGCGAAGGCGGUUCUCUGGGACGGUACUGACGCUGAGACGCGAAAGCGUGGGGAGCGAACAGG